This 235-nucleotide ribosomal RNA is filed under the name uncultured bacterium. RNAcentral describes it as "partial 16S ribosomal RNA". It matches the Rfam family "Bacterial small subunit ribosomal RNA", at positions 118 to 347 of the family's 1533-position model. The record is from RNAcentral.
UGAGCAAUCUGCCCUUCUCAUCGGAAUAAGCGUUGGAAACGACGUCUAAUGCCGAAUACGACCUCCUUUCGCAUGAUCGGAGGUGGAAAGCUCCGGCGGAGAAGGAUGAGCUCGCGGCCUAUCAGCUAGUUGGUGUGGGUAAUGGCCCACAAGGCGACGGACGGGUAGCCGGCCUGAGAGGGUGACCGACCACACGUGGGACUGAGACACGGCCCAGACCUCCGUACGGGAGCAG